CGGGUGAGUAACGCGUGAGGAACCUGCCUCAAAGAGGGGGGAAACAGUUGGAAACGACUGCUAAUACCGCAUAAGCCCACGGCUCGGCAUCGAGCAGAGGGAAAAGGAGCAAUCCGCUUUGAGAUGGCCUCGCGCCGAUUAGCUAGUUGGUGAGGUAACGGCCCACCAAGGCGACGAUCGGUAGCCGGACUGAGAGGUUGAACGGCCACAUUGGGACUGAGACACGGCCCAG
Molecule: ribosomal RNA, 232 nt
Filed under: uncultured bacterium
Lineage: Bacteria
Description: partial 16S ribosomal RNA
Rfam family: Bacterial small subunit ribosomal RNA
Source: RNAcentral